This 604-nucleotide ribosomal RNA is filed under the name uncultured Bacillota bacterium. RNAcentral describes it as "bacterial SSU rRNA". It matches the Rfam family "Bacterial small subunit ribosomal RNA", at positions 9 to 636 of the family's 1533-position model. Lineage: Bacteria; Bacillati; Bacillota. The record is from RNAcentral.
GAGUUUGAUCAUGGCUCAGGAUGAACGCUGGCGGCACGUCUGACACAUGCAAGUCGAACGGCAAGCCACCUCUCGGGUCGGCCUAGAAGUGGCGAACGGCUGAGUAACACGUAUGGAACCUACCCCUUAGUUCGGGACAACAGGCCGAAAGGCCUGCUAAUACCGGAUAAUAUCGAAAGAUUAAAAGGAUCUUACUGCUGCAGAGGAGGGGCCUGCGGCGUAUUAGCUAGUUGGUGAGGUAACUGCUCACCAAGGCGAUGAUGCGUAGCUGGUCUGAGAGGAUGAUCAGCCAGACUGGGACUGAGACACGGCCCAGACUCCUACGGGAGGCAGCAGUUCAGAAUCUUGCACAAUGGGCGAAAGCCUGAUGCAGCGAUGCCGCGUGGGUGAAGAAGGCCUUCGGGUCGUAAAGCCCUGUCAGAGGGAAAGAUAAUGACGGACUACCCUCUAAGGAAGCCACGGCUAAUUACGUGCCAGCAGCCGCGGUAAUACGUAAGUGGCGAGCCGUUAUCCGGAAUCACUGGGCGUAAAGCGAUGCGUAGGCGGUUUGGCAAGUUGGAUUUGAAAGCCCGGGGCUCAACUCCGGACCCGGAUCCAAAACUGC